GUAGUUUGAUCCUGGCUCAGUAUUGAACGCUGGCGGAAUGCUUUACACAUGCAAGUCGAACGGCAGCACGGGGCAACCUGGUGGCGAGUGGCGAACGGGUGAGUAAUACAUCGGAACGUGCCCAAUCGUGGGGAUAACGUAGCGAAAGUUACGCUAAUACCGCAUACGAUCUACGGAUGAAAGCGGGGGAUCGCAAGACCUCGCGCGAAUGGAGCGGCCGAUGUCAGAUUAGGUAGUUGGUGGGGUAAAGGCUCACCAAGCCAACGAUCUGUAGCUGGUCUGAGAGGACGACCAGCCACACUGGAACUGAGACACGGUCCAGACUCCUACGGGAGGCAACAGUGGGGAAUUUUGGACAAUGGGCGCAAGCCUGAUCCAGCCAUUCCGCGUGCAGGAUGAAGGCCUUCGGUUGUAAACUGCUUUUGUACGGAACGAAAAGGUCCUGGUUAAUACCUGGGGCUCAUGACGGUACCGUAAGAAUAAGCACCGGCUAACUACGUG
This 501-nucleotide ribosomal RNA is filed under the name uncultured bacterium. RNAcentral's name for it is "bacterial SSU rRNA". It matches the Rfam family "Bacterial small subunit ribosomal RNA", at positions 9 to 507 of the family's 1533-position model. The record is from RNAcentral.